Molecule: long non-coding RNA, 2393 nt
Organism: Brassica napus (rape)
Lineage: Eukaryota; Viridiplantae; Streptophyta; Magnoliopsida; Brassicales; Brassicaceae
Exons: 3
Source: RefSeq, a predicted model, not a curated record
UUCAAGACCCAUAAGUGAAAUCUAAGUCUUCGAUGGCUUCUACUCUAACACAAACCACACAAACCAUAAAUAGUUUCCACCUCUUCAUUCUAUAUAAGCAUACGAAUGAGUCAUACUGAUCAUCAUUCAUUAGUAAAUUAAGAUACAAUACUAAGAUGGCAUCUUCUAAAGUAUCUUCCAUGCUUCUCUUUCUCCUCCUUCUCGUUCUUGUGUUUCCCCAUAUGGAUAAAGCCCUUGGUGAAAAAAGACAGCUCCACGAACUUAAAGGCACAGAGCAUCCCGAUCAACUGAUGACGGUUGGAAGGAGCCUUCUCUUUCGCAUCCCUCCAUGCCCACCGUCCUUAUGUAAGCCUCGUCCGAUAAGAAUUCCUCCCCGACUUCGUACACCUCCACCCCCUCCACGGCAUUGAAGGUUUCCAAAAGGCAAAAACACAUGGAUACCAAAAUAUUUGGAUGAAAAUAUAUUUUCGUAAUUCCUCACUAUAAAUGUAAUUCUGAAAUUUUCUUUCAAAAUAAAGAGAUCAUGCCACUCGGGAUGAUGGUAUGAUGAUAUGUUGUUGUAAGUUUUAAGCUAUUGUAUGAUGAUAUAUUUGUUGAUAUUAUUCAACGUAAAUAAAUAUAGUUUAUGGAUUUGUGUCGAUAGAGAAAGUGGCAAAAAAGAAAAAUUUUAAAGAAAGAAAUGAGAAGAUGUUUGAUACGACAUUCUAUAUUAUAUAAAUGAUAUUUUCAAGUCACUUAAAAUAUGUUUUCUCUCUGAGCGACAAUAAAAGCGACUCUUUAUAUUGACGGUUAUCUAAAUUUUUUUCACCGUUACCGGCUGCGUAGGCCGCCGGAUUUCACUAUUUUCCUGCUUAUUUUACUUUCUACUUUCAAUUUGGCUAGUAUAUGAUGUCUUCUUCAUUACUCCCUCCAUUUCUGAAUAAGUGUCGUUGUAGAGAAUUUUUUUCGCUACAAAAUAAGUGUCGUUUUCGAUUUUCAAUGCAAAAUUUAUUAGUUUUAUUCAGUAAUCUAUUUUUCUAUUGGUUGAAACAUGGUUAGGUGUAUUGGUAAUUAUGGUUUUAUAUAGGAAAUGUACAAAAUUAAUUGUUUCCUUAGUCCGUUUGCGCAGACCCAAAACGACACUUAAUAUGAAACAGAGGGAUAUGUUGGGUGAACUGGAGUUUUCAUCAUCUUCAUCUUCCGUUUUCUGAUGAAAAUCGAGGGCUGUCACUAUCUCCAUUAGUGAUAGAUCUUGCUCGAUCCUUUAUUCGGUUAUUGGCGUUAUUCCUCGUCGUAUUUGGCGUGUGUGUUUUCCCUUUAAUAGGGUGGGUGUAUGAAUCUGGUCUCCUCCGUCAUGAAGAUCAAACUACCCAUUUGGUUUAAAGGCCUUGACAGACGACGUGUCUUGACUUUGCCGAGAUCGUGUCCUUGUUAAACAUAGGCGAGUUUUGAGCAUCUUACAAACACAUCGUUUAUGAUAUUGCUAAAGUUUAAGCCAAAGCAAAAGCUUAUUAUUACCAAAAAAGGAGUGUUAAUCUUUAACGUCUAAUUUUACGAACUCAGUAGUAUUAUAUAGUCAAGCAAAUUAAUUUGGGUUAUUCACUAGUCAAUUAAAAAUCUAAGAUAUUGAAAUUCUAAUUUAAUAAUUUAUCUAUAAUAUAUAUGAGUGAAAUGAAAUAUGAUAAAAUCCUGGAAUAAUAUCUAUAAUUUAUCUAUAGUAUCUGCUCCACUAAAAUAAAAUGAUAAUAUCCUGCCAUCCUGGAAAUUGAGUGAUGCUAAUAUAAUAGAAUAAACUUUGCCUAAAACUACCAAAACUUCAAGACCCAUAAGUGAAAUCUAAGUCUUCGAUGGCUUCUACUCUAACACAAACCACACAAACCAUAAAUAGUUUCCACCUCUUCAUUCUAUAUAAGCAUACGAAUGAGUCAUACUGAUCAUCAUUCAUUAGUAAAUUAAGAUACAAUACUAAGAUGGCAUCUUCUAAAGUAUCUUCCAUGCUUCUCUUUCUCCUCCUUCUCGUUCUUGUGUUUCCCCAUAUGGAUAAAGCCCUUGGUGAAGAAAGACAGCUCCACGAACUUAAAGGCACAGAGCAUCCCGAUCAACUGAUGACGGUUGGAAGGAGCCUUCUCUUUCGCAUCCCUCCAUGCCCACCGUCCUUAUGUAAGCCUCGUCCGAUAAGAAUUCCUCCCCGACUUCGUACACCUCCACCCCCUCCACGGCAUUGAAGGUUUCCAAAAGGCAAAAACACAUGGAUCCCAAAAUAUUUGGAUGAAAAUAUAUUUUCGUAAUUCCUCACUAUAAAUGUAAUUCUGAAAUUUUCUUUCAAAAUAAAGAGAUCAUGCCACUCGGGAUGAUGGUAUGAUGAUAUGUUGUUGUAAGUUUUAAGCUAUUGUAUGAUGAUAUAUUUGUUGAUA